Brachypodium distachyon (stiff brome) is the source of this 3360-nucleotide long non-coding RNA. RefSeq lists it as uncharacterized. The record is from RefSeq and is a predicted model, not a curated record. The transcript has 4 exons. NCBI's taxonomy places the organism in Eukaryota, Viridiplantae, Streptophyta, Magnoliopsida, Poales, Poaceae.
CUCCUCCGCCCCCGCUGCGACGGCCGCCUCCGCCCCGCUCCGACUACGACAGCCGCCUCCACCCCUCUCCGACUGCGACGGCCCCCACCCCGCUCGCUCCGACGGCCACCUCCGCUGCUCCUCCUCCGCCCCCGCUGCGACGGCCUCCUCCGCCUCUGCCCCCGCUACGACGGUCUCCGCCCCGCUCCGACAGCCUCCUGCGCCACAGUGCCCAGCGAUCUCCGAGCGUCGGAGGACUCAAGAACAGAAGAAUUUGAUUGUUGUGCUAUGCAAUUGUGAGUGUUGUGCAUUCUCAAGUGUUUUGCAAUGGGAGAAAUUGACAAACGGGUACCCCAAGUUGGUAUGAGGUUCAGAAAUCCAGACGAAGCUUGGGUGUUUUGGGUUGACUAUGGGGGUUGUGCAGGGUUUGAUGUGAGGAAAAGAAACAAAAAUGUUAUCAAGUUUGAUGGUGAAAUGACUUCAUGUAGAUUUGUUUGUUCCAAUGAGGGCCUUCGGAGAAAAAGGCAAACAUUGGAAAAUCUGCCAAAGCGUUUUAGAGCUGAAACAAGAACGGAUUGCAAAGCUGGGAUGACGAUAACAUUGGAUUGAAUGGCAAGAAACUAUGAAGUCAUUGAUGUUAUGGUGGAACACAACCACUACCUUCAAUUGCCACAAACAUGCCACUUGAUGGCACCACAAAGGAAGAUUUCUGAAAUGCAAGCUUUUGAGAUAGAAACAGCGGAAGAUUCUGGAAUCAUGCCAAAGGCUGCACAUGAGUUUGCUUGUCGUCAAGUUGGUGGACCAUAAACCUUGGCUACACUGAUUGUGACCAAAAGAAUUAUCUGCGAAGCAAGCGACAAAGGGAGUUGGCUUUUGGACAGGCCGGUAGUAUGUUGAAGUAUUUUCAUGACAAAAUUGUUGAGAACCCAUCUUUUCAAUAUGCUUUGCAGUUGGAUUGUGAGGAGCAUAUAACGAACAUAUUCCGGGCUAAUGCUAAAAUGGUUCUGACUAUGCAUACUUUGGUAAUGUCGUCACAUUUGAUACUACUUUUGGCACAAAUAAAGAAUAUAGGCCAUUUGGUGUUUUUCUUGGGCUCAAUCAGUUCAGAGAAACCACCAUUUUUGGUGCUGUCUUGCUAUUUGAUGAAACAUGUGACUCAUUUACAUGGCUUUUUGAGACUUUUCUAGCUGCACAUAAUGGAAGGCAACCUAGAACUAUUUCCACGGAUCAAGAUGCAGCAAUGGGGAAAGCUAUAGGGAAAGUCUUCACGGAAUCAUAUCAUGGACUGUGCACAUUUCAUAUAAUGCAGAAUGCCGUCAAACAUUUAUGUCCAGCAAAGGGUGAAGGAAAAGAUGAAGAGGAAGAGAAAGAUGAUGGGAAAGAUGAAGAUGAAGAGUCUCAUAUCCUCACUGACUUUGGGGAUUGUAUGUAUGGCUAUGAGGACAAAGCAGAAUUUCAAGAAGCAUUUGACAAUAUGAGACAGAGUAUUGGAUGGAAAUAAUAAAUUUGACAAAGUGAGUAUGAAAGAUCCAUGGCUGCAUGCACUAGAGUAUUGGAUGGAAAUAAUAAAUUUGCUGUUGCUAUUGGGAGUUUGCAUGGUGAUCUAAAAUUUGAGGAGGAGCGCAUAGUGACCGGUGAUCCAAUGACUCAAACAGUUUCAUGUAGUUGUGGAAUGUUUGAUAGGACAGGAAUAUUGUGCGGACAUGGUCUCAAAGUUCUUGAUUUGAUGAAUAUAAAGACAUUGCCAAAUCAUUAUAUAUUAAAGAAAUGGACUAGAGAAGCACGCAAUGGAAGUAUACAAGAUAGAGAAGGAAGGAACGUGGUAGAAAAUCCAAAAUUUGAAGCUCAACUUCGGUACAAGAGUUUAUCUCACAAAUUUCACAGAUUGGCAUAUAAAGCAGCCAACUCUCUAAAGUGUUGUUUGAUGUUAGAAAAUGCACUUGAUUCCGUUAGUCCACAACUAGAGGAUAAACUCAGUGCAACUACCAAUGCUUCAAAUAAGCCAUGUAAUGACAAGGAAAAUGUUGACCAAAAUAGUCAACAAAUUAAUGAGAAGUUUUUUAGUGCUGCAAAGCUCAAGAAGAAAGAGGUCCAAUCCAGAAAUCUAAGGAGAAAGAAAACUUGGCUUGAUAAGUUACUCAAGGGGAGGCGCAAGCCAACUAAAGUUGCUGCAUCCAAAAACAAAGGAGCAAAGACGGUAGAACAAAUCAUCAUAAGUAUCAUCAUCACAAGGGGGAGCUGUUAAGAGCUGCGUGUAACUGAUCAUGGCAUUGCGCUCCUGAAGAUCCAGAUUUUCUCCUUUAUCAUUGCUAUCCUUCUCUACUCCUACUUGAGGUUCUACACCAUCAUGUUUCUUUUGCUGCUGCAAACAAGAAAAAAAAUCUAGUUAAUAUUUCAGGAAUGAAUGGUGACAACAUAUAUUAGCAAUUUCUUUUCUAGUACUAACAGCCCAUAUUGCGUUCAGUUCUCUGCUAUUACUAAACAAUAAGCUGUGUUGUUUGGAGAACGUGCUGUUCUUAACCUGAUUCACUUAUUCAAAUGGGCGGACGGACUGCUAUUCUACUGGACUUGCUGCUGCCGGCCGUCCGAUUUAAACGGACGGUGGAUGCUGGCCGCGACGAGGCACCCGGUGCCUCGACAGAGCCAAGGUUGCUUUUGGGGCCUGCACUACCGGCGGCAUCUCUCCACGUACCACUGCACCCCACGGUCCUGUCGAUCGACCGGAUGGAUAGGAUGAAUCAGUAGUAUUGGGAAACCUGUAUUGAUUACUCAAUCGAUCGUAUGGGCGGCCGGACGCGGCAAAGGACUCAGCCUGCCUACACCGCCGUCGGGUGGAUCUCCGUGGACGCGCCACCGGCCUCCUCUGCCUAGCUCCCCGCCGGCCUACCCCGCUGCAGAUUGGAUCUCGCUGGACGCACCGCCGACCUCCUCUGCCUAUCCCGCCAUGGACGCCUCGUACAGAUCCCGCCAUGGACUGCUUGGACAGACCUAGGCGGAGAGGCGCGCGCCGCCGGCAACCAGAGGGGUCUGCGAUUUGGGCGGCGCGGGCGGUCUACGGCAAGGGGAGGCUCGGGGGCAGCUCGAUCAGGCGCCAGCUAGUGGACGCGCGCGCGAGGCAGAAAGGCAGGGAGAGAAGGAACGAAGGAAGCGAAGGAAAGCCGCGCGGGGAGAGAGAGAGAGAGACCUGGGUGUUUCAGAUCGUCGAGGCAGUUCGGCGCGGUUGACAGACGACGUAUCGCCCGCCCGCCCGUCAGGAAUCGCGGGGAAAAGGAGGCCAUGGAGGUGGCAGAACUGGUACUCCCUCUGUUCCUUUUAGGUACGUCAUCUUAGAUUUUCUUAGUCUAUUUCAGUUUAAGUGUCGUUGAGAGUUUUUUAGUCAAA